CCUCUGUAGUCUAAGAGGUGCCCUUGGUUGUUGGUACCCUGGGCACACCAGGCUUGCAGAGAGAGCAGCAGCGUGAGGAAGCCGAGGCAUGGCUGUCAGAGCGCAGCAGCAGCAUGCGCAAUAUUCCUCCGACACGUGCCACUCUGUUGCCACGGAGGUAAUGACUGUUCCCGUGUCAUUAUUGAUCUGUCAACAGUAAGAGGAAUUUUGCAGUCUGAUAUUGUUUAGCAAAUAAGAGUAACGUCUGCUGAACACUGAAAAAACUGCUAUAAAA
Non-coding RNA from Vidua chalybeata, 274 nucleotides. Lineage: Eukaryota; Metazoa; Chordata; Aves; Passeriformes; Viduidae. The record is from RefSeq and is a predicted model, not a curated record.